GAAAGGUAAGUUAAUUAAACUGCUUGGUUCAUGCCCAAAGAAUACAAAUUUUUGUCCUUUCUUA
This 64-nucleotide transfer RNA is filed under the name Orthocoelium streptocoelium. RNAcentral describes it as "tRNA-Met". The record is from RNAcentral. Lineage: Eukaryota; Metazoa; Platyhelminthes; Trematoda; Plagiorchiida; Paramphistomidae.